RNAcentral lists this ribosomal RNA (243 nucleotides) under uncultured bacterium. RNAcentral describes it as "partial 16S ribosomal RNA". It matches the Rfam family "Bacterial small subunit ribosomal RNA", at positions 91 to 334 of the family's 1533-position model. The record is from RNAcentral.
CGGACCGGCGCACGGUGAGUAACGCGUAUGCAACUUACCUAUCAGGAGGGGAUAACCCGGCGAAAGUCGGACUAAUACCGCAUGAAGCAGGGGCCCCGCAUGGGGAUAUUCGCUAAAGAUUCAUCGCUGAUAGAUAGGCAUGCGUUCCAUUAGGCAGUUGGCGGGGUAACGGCCCACCAAACCGACGAUGGAUAGGGGUUCUGAGAGGAAGGUCCCCCACAUUGGUACUGAGACACGGACCAA